UGGGGAAUUUUGGACAAUGGGCGAAAGCCUGAUCCAGCAAUGCCGCGUGUGUGAAGAAGGCCUUCGGGUUGUAAAGCACUUUUGUCCGGAAAGAAAUCCUUGGCUCUAAUACAGUCGGGGGAUGACGGUACCGGAAGAAUAAGCACCGGCUAACUACGUGCCAGCAGCCGCGGUAAUACGUAGGGUGCAAGCGUUAAUCGGAAUUACUGGGCGUAAAGCGUGCGCAGGCGGUUUGCUAAGACCGAUGUGAAAUCCCCGGGCUCAACCUGGGAACUGCAUUGGUGACUGGCAGGCUAGAGUAUGGCAGAGGGGGGUAGAAUUCCACGUGUAGCAGUGAAAUGCGUAGAGAUGUGGAGGAAUACCGAUGGCGAAGGCAGCCCCCUGGGCCAAUACUGACGCUCAUGCACGAAAGCGUGGGGAGCAAACAGGAUUAGAUACCCUGGUAGUCCCACGCCCUAAACGAUGUCAACUA
This 472-nucleotide ribosomal RNA is filed under the name uncultured bacterium. RNAcentral's name for it is "partial 16S ribosomal RNA". It matches the Rfam family "Bacterial small subunit ribosomal RNA", at positions 355 to 818 of the family's 1533-position model. The record is from RNAcentral.